CAGCAAGAAGAGAGAUGGCGGCCCGGGGGAUUUGAUCAUAUUUCAGGCUUUGGUAGGUGCAGGGUGGCGUACGUUUAAGGAUGAUAAUGAGAUUGAGAGAGGGGAAAAUAUUAAGACAGAACUAGAGAAUGCAAUUAUAAAUUCGAGGAGUUCAAUAAUUAUCAUCUCGAAGAACUAUGCUACUUCAACAUGGUGCCUUGAUGAACUUGUCAAAAUCCUUGAACAUAAGAGGACAAAAGGGC
Molecule: long non-coding RNA, 242 nt
Organism: Solanum verrucosum
Lineage: Eukaryota; Viridiplantae; Streptophyta; Magnoliopsida; Solanales; Solanaceae
Exons: 2
Source: RefSeq, a predicted model, not a curated record